Molecule: ribosomal RNA, 497 nt
Filed under: uncultured bacterium
Lineage: Bacteria
Description: partial 16S ribosomal RNA
Rfam family: Bacterial small subunit ribosomal RNA
Source: RNAcentral
GAUGAACGCUGGCGGCGUGCUUAAUACAUGCAAGUCGAGCGAACAGACGCUGAUCUUGCUCCUCUGACGUUAGCGGCGGAGGGGUGUGUCACACGUGGAUCCUCUACCUAUCUGACUGGGAUAACUUCGGGACUGCGGCGCUAAUCCCGGAUAAUCUAUUGAUCCGUGUGGUUCAAUAGUGAAAGACGGCUUUGCUGUCUCUACUAGAUGGAUCCGCGCCGCAUUAGCUAGUUGGUAAGGUCACGGCUUAUUAAGGCAACGAUGCGUAGCCGACGGGCGAGGGGGAUCGCCCGCACGGGAGCGUAGACGCGGACCAGACGCCUACGGGAGGGACCAGUAGCCAAUCUUCCGCAAUAGGCGAAAGCCUGACGGAACAACCGCACGUGAGAGGUGACGGCCUUCGGAGCGUAAAGCUCUGUUAUUGGUGAUAAACAGAUGUGGAAGUAGCUAUACAGGUCGUGACGGUACCGAGUCAGAAAGCCACGGCUAACUACGUG